CGGCGUGCCUAACACAUGCAAGUCGAACGAGAAAGUUGGCUUCGGCCGAUGAGUAAAGUGGCGCACGGGUGAGUAACGCGUGGAUAAUCUGCCCUUAAGUUCGGAAUAACGUACCGAAAGGUGCGCUAAUACCGGAUAAUACUGAGUGACUACUGUUGCUUAGUCAAAGAAGGCUUCUGUUUACAUGCUUUUGCUGAAGGAUGAGUCCGCGUACCAUUAGCUAGUUGGUAGGGUAAUGGCCUACCAAGGCGACGAUGGUUAGCUGGUCUGAGAGGAUGAUCAGCCACACUGGAACUGAGACACGGUCCAGACUCCUACGGGAGGCAGCAGUGAGGAAUAUUGCGCAAUGGGGGCAACCCUGACGCAGCAACGCCGCGUGAGUGAGGAAGGUUUUCGGACCGUAAAGCUCUGUCGAGCGGGAAGAAAUGUGUCAUGGCUAAUAUCCAUGAUGCUUGACGGUACCGCUAAAGGAAGCACCGGCUAACUCCGUG
This 491-nucleotide ribosomal RNA is filed under the name uncultured bacterium. RNAcentral describes it as "bacterial SSU rRNA". It matches the Rfam family "Bacterial small subunit ribosomal RNA", at positions 40 to 507 of the family's 1533-position model. The record is from RNAcentral.